Molecule: long non-coding RNA, 1025 nt
Organism: Humulus lupulus (European hop)
Lineage: Eukaryota; Viridiplantae; Streptophyta; Magnoliopsida; Rosales; Cannabaceae
Exons: 3
Source: RefSeq, a predicted model, not a curated record
AUUAUAGAAUAGACACACACACAUAUAUAUAUAUGUGGUGGAGGUCCCAUAAAUAGGAGCUUUGCAUCGAUCUCUCAUUUUCACAGAUAAAGUCAUUAUUUUCUAAAGCAAACCUUGUGUGUUCUGCAUUUUUUAUCAGUAUGAUCUGCAAAAACAUACAAUAAUAUAUAUAUAUAUAUAUAUAUAUAUACAUAUGAAUAAAGCAAAACAAUUUGGUGAAAGCAUUAUAACAGGACCUUUCCAUUUGUGUUGCCUUUUUCCACUUCCUUCAUCUUCAUUUCGUUACCUUCAGAUUUAGCGAAGUAAUGGUCACCUGAUUAAAAACAGUAACAAAAUAAGGAAACUGCCUACUUGGAAAUUAAACAUUAUAACAUUUAAGCAAUUUGGUCUAUGCUAAUAAUACUAAAAAAUGAGUUAUGUUCUAAAAUAAGACAUUAAUAAAUAACCAUAACAUACUACCAUUACUUGUGAUCUUAUGGCCUAGUGGGGCCUUUCUUCUCAUUUAGUCUUUAUGCCCCAAAGUACUCUUUCUUUUAAAGCAAUAGCUUUGGCUCUUUCUUUAAUUAGAUGCAAUAAUCUCAUGGGAUCUUUCCUCUGCUGCAAUCUCUUGGCCCAGGACACUUUUAUUUUGAGGCAGUUUUAUGGGGUCUGAUAGAGUCCCUUGGGCCCUAUGAUGGAAGUUUAGUAAAAAGUGCAAGCAUAGGAAAGGGUUUGCAUACCUGGGUUCUCGGCUCCAGCAGUCUCGCCGGCGGCGUGCUUCUCGGCGUGGGGUGCUGGUUGCUCACGGUUCCAGCAGGUGGUUCCGUGCUCUCGGCGUGCUUCGGUGGUUUCUAGGAGCUUGGAUGUUAUUUUUAUUAUAUCCCAAUUGGCAUUAUUGUUGUUUUCUCGAUCCUCUCAAUGCACCAUUAGAUAACAGGACAUCUAUCAAGGAGACCAUCCAUGAUGCAUUUGAGAUGUAUUUCACAGAAAGAAUAAAAGCACGUCAAAAGAUCAACAAACGCACAUCGGGAGUAAUGUAUUUUCAA